RNAcentral lists this ribosomal RNA (433 nucleotides) under uncultured bacterium. RNAcentral describes it as "partial 16S ribosomal RNA". It matches the Rfam family "Bacterial small subunit ribosomal RNA", at positions 29 to 507 of the family's 1533-position model. The record is from RNAcentral.
AACGAACGCUGGCGGCAGGCUUAACACAUGCAAGUCGAGCGAGACCUUCGGGUCUAGCGGCGGACGGGUGAGUAACGCGUGGGAACGUGCCCUUCUCUACGGAAUAGCCCCGGGAAACUGGGAGUAAUACCGUAUACGCCCUUUGGGGGAAAGAUUUAUCGGAGAAGGAUCGGCCCGCGUUGGAUUAGGUAGUUGGUGGGGUAAUGGCCCACCAAGCCGACGAUCCAUAGCUGGUUUGAAAGGAUGAUCAGCCACACUGGGACUGAGACACGGCCCAGACUCCUACGGGAGGCAGCAGUGGGGAAUCUUAGACAAUGGGGGCAACCCUGAUCUAGCCAUGCCGCGUGAGUGAUGAAGGCCUUAGGGUUGUAAAGCUCUUUCAGCUGGGAAGAUAAUGACGGUACCAGCAGAAGAAGCCCCGGCUAACUCCGUG